CAGUAUCAAACAUAUUAUCAUACCACUACCCGUGGAUGUG
This 40-nucleotide non-coding RNA is filed under the name Hemiselmis andersenii. The record is from RNAcentral. Lineage: Eukaryota; Cryptophyceae; Cryptomonadales; Hemiselmidaceae.